Molecule: ribosomal RNA, 459 nt
Filed under: uncultured bacterium
Lineage: Bacteria
Description: bacterial SSU rRNA
Rfam family: Bacterial small subunit ribosomal RNA
Source: RNAcentral
AACGAACGCUGGCGGCAUGCCUAACACAUGCAAGUCGAACGGGAUCCUAGCUUGCUAGGUGAGAGUGGCGGACGGGUGAGUAACACGUGGGAAUCUGCCUUUUGGUUCGGGAUAACCGCGGGAAACUGCGGCUAAUACCGAAUGCCCUCGAGAGAGGAAAGAUUUAUCGCCAGAAGAGGAGCCCGCAUCCGAUUAGGUAGUUGGUGGGGUAAAGGCCUACCAAGCCGACGAUCGGUAGCUGGUCUGAGAGGAUGAUCAGCCACACUGGGACUGAGAUACGGCCCAGACUCCUACGGGAGGCAGCAGUGGGGAAUAUUGGACAAUGGGGGCAACCCUGAUCCAGCAAUGCCGCGUGAGUGAUGAAGGCCUUAGGGUUGUAAAGCUCUUUUGCCAGGGAAGAUGAUGACUGUACCUGGAGAAUAAGCCCCGGCUAACCUUCGUGCCAGCAGCCGCGGUAAU